CCUACGGGUGGCAGCAGUGGGGAAUAUUGCGCAAUGGGCGAAAGCCUGACGCAGCGACGCCGCGUGAGGGAUGAAGGUCUUCGGAUCGUAAACCUCUGUCAGCAGGGAAGAACGGUCACUGUGCUAAUCAGCAGUGCAUUGACUGUACCUGCAAAGGAAGCACCGGCUAACUCCGGGCCAGCAGCCGCGGUAAUACGGAGGGUGCGAGCGUUAAUCGGAAUUACUUGGCGUAAAGCGCCCGUAGGCGGUAUGUCAAGUCAAGGGUGAAAUCCCCGCGCUCAACGGGGGAACUGCCUUUGAAACGGGCAGACUGGAGUAUGUGAGAGGAUAGUGGAAUUCCAGGUGUAGGAGUGAAAUCCGUAGAUAUCUGGAGGAACACCAGUGGCGAAGGCGACUAUCUGGCACAUAACUGACGCUGAGGAGCGAAAGCGUGGGUAGCAAACAGGAUUAGAUACCCGAGUAGUC
RNAcentral lists this ribosomal RNA (465 nucleotides) under uncultured bacterium. RNAcentral describes it as "partial 16S ribosomal RNA". It matches the Rfam family "Bacterial small subunit ribosomal RNA", at positions 338 to 795 of the family's 1533-position model. The record is from RNAcentral.